This 567-nucleotide ribosomal RNA is filed under the name uncultured bacterium. RNAcentral's name for it is "partial 16S ribosomal RNA". It matches the Rfam family "Bacterial small subunit ribosomal RNA", at positions 355 to 914 of the family's 1533-position model. The record is from RNAcentral.
UGGGGAAUUUUGGACAAUGGGGGAAACCCUGAUCCAGCCAUCCCGCGUGUGCGAUGAAGGCCUUCGGGUUGUAAAGCACUUUUGGCAGGAAAGAAACGUCGCGGGUUAAUACCCCGCGAAACUGACGGUACCUGCAGAAUAAGCACCGGCUAACUACGUGCCAGCAGCCGCGGUAAUACGUAGGGUGCAAGCGUUAAUCGGAAUUACUGGGCGUAAAGCGUGCGCAGGCGGUUCGGAAAGAAAGAUGUGAAAUCCCAGAGCUUAACUUUGGAACUGCAUUUUUAACUACCGGGCUAGAGUGUGUCAGAGGGAGGUGGAAUUCCGCGUGUAGCAGUGAAAUGCGUAGAUAUGCGGAGGAACACCGAUGGCGAAGGCAGCCUCCUGGGAUAACACUGACGCUCAUGCACGAAAGCGUGGGGAGCAAACAGGAUUAGAUACCCUGGUAGUCCACGCCCUAAACGAUGUCAACUAGCUGUUGGGGGCCUUCGGGCCUUGGUAGCGCAGCUAACGCGUGAAGUUGACCGCCUGGGGAGUACGGUCGCAAGAUUAAAACUUAAAUGAAUUGAC